This 89-nucleotide transfer RNA is filed under the name Eubacteriales bacterium. Its description in RNAcentral is "tRNA-Tyr". RNAcentral also lists the same sequence under 1 other name. Lineage: Bacteria; Bacillati; Bacillota; Clostridia; Eubacteriales. The record is from RNAcentral.
GCCGUCGUAAUCCGUUAAGGAGGCGGGACGGACUGUAAAUCCGUCAGUUCAAGUACUUCGAGUGGGUUCGAUACCCUCAGGCGGCACCA